GGGAGCGAAGCCUGCAGGGUCCGCCUUCUCCCGGCCAGGCCAGCUCGGGCCUUUCCUCCGCCGCCGGGCCGCGUGCCGGCUCGAGGGGACGGACCUUGUUCUGUCUUCGCCCGAGGACUUUACACCCUCAGCGCCGGGGACCUGCUUCGAAACGUGCGACAACCUGGGAGGACGGAGCGGGCUCGCGCUCAGCAAGCUCUAGCGAGGAAAGACGCCGCGAGAACCCCAGGACCCCUGCCAUACUGUUCCAUGCUGAAGGGCAGACACACCUGCUUCCCCCUCGUCACCUGUUCCCAACCUGUCACUGGCGGUUUUCCUUCCGAAUACCUGAGCCAUUCGCUUUCUAGGGAAAACGUGACUGGAGCCAGGUUACUGGAGUCAGCCUUGGAGACUUGAACUGCUGGAGGGAAAUCUGUGACGGAGCUCAGGGAGACACAAAGCCACUCGGUCAUCAGACCCGCCCCCCUUUGGAUUCUGGAGCCCAUGUUCCCACAAGACUCCAGCCAUGCCGCUCAAAACUAUCCUGAAAUACUUUCAAACUUAGUGCUUGCUCAGGCGCCUUAGGGAGGUUUAAGUCCAGGGUGCAAAGGUCAACUUCAAAUUCUGCUGAAUUCUUUUAUCUCAACUCUUAGAACUCUCAGCCUCGGGUUAAGGUGCUGCCAAUUUUAAAGUAGACACUUCAGGUUGAAUAAGGUGAGAGUGUGUCGGUGAACACGAGAAUGAAAACCGGUAUGCACAGCUAGGGCAUAGUUAUUCACUGCUCCUCACUACCGCUAGCAAAACAGCACAUGUAGUGUCUUACAGAAGUUGGGCACAUCAGUGAUUAAAACGGUGCUUCCUAGUCAUAAACUGAAAGCACCAGGAACUCAGCUCUUCCUUGGUUCACUCCUUAGACAUUCAUUCCGCCUCCUGGUGGCGUCUGUCAGAAACGCUCUUCCUUUCCUGUUCCUACUGAAUGGGGUAGGCUCUAACACAGCGAUUAUAAGUACAUUGGAAAAAUAGCCAGCCAUGGUAGUGCACACCGG
RNAcentral lists this long non-coding RNA (1025 nucleotides) under Heterocephalus glaber (naked mole-rat). RNAcentral's name for it is "lncRNA (ENSHGLG00100038949.1)". The record is from RNAcentral. Lineage: Eukaryota; Metazoa; Chordata; Mammalia; Rodentia; Bathyergidae.